UGAGCCGAAGGUGGACUCUUAACCAACUGAGGUACCCACGCGCCCCAUGGAGAAACAAGUCAGUCAGGAAGCCCCGCUGCAGCCAUGGCUUUUAAAGACACCCAGAAGACAUCAUGGAACCAGAGGUGGGGAUUCACCAGUGAAAAUUACUCUAACCAGCCACAACAUAAAAUCUUUAGAGAAGAUAUGUACUGACUCGAUCAGAGGUGCAAAAGGAAAGAAUCUAAAGGGAAAGGACAAGUUCAAAUGUCCACCAAGCCUCUGAGAAUCACCACAAGAAAAACUCACGAAGCCAGGCCUGUGGCAACCCUCGCAGUGUGCCUAGCCAAGACACCACCAGAUAUCAUCCAGCCCACCGUCGACACUGCCGGCCACCAACCAGACCAC
Molecule: long non-coding RNA, 387 nt
Organism: Felis catus (domestic cat)
Lineage: Eukaryota; Metazoa; Chordata; Mammalia; Carnivora; Felidae
Exons: 3
Source: RefSeq, a predicted model, not a curated record